GUGGGGAAUCUUGCGCAAUGGGCGAAAGCCUGACGCAGCCAUGCCGCGUGAAUGAUGAAGGUCUUAGGAUUGUAAAAUUCUUUCACCGGGGACGAUAAUGACGGUACCCGGAGAAGAAGCCCCGGCUAACUUCGUGCCAGCAGCCGCGGUAAUACGAAGGGGGCUAGCGUAGCUCGGAAUUACUGGGCGUAAAGGGCGCGUAGGCGGAUCGUUAAGUCAGGGGUGAAAUCCCAGAGCUCAACUCUGGAACUGCCCUUGAUACUGGCGAUCUUGAGUGUGAGAGAGGUAUGUGGAACUCCGAGUGUAGAGGUGAAAUUCGUAGAUAUUCGGAAGAACACCAGUGGCGAAGGCGACAUACUGGCUCAUUACUGACGCUGAGGCGCGAAAGCGUGGGGAGCAAACAGGAUUAGAUACCCUUGUAGUCC
Molecule: ribosomal RNA, 425 nt
Filed under: uncultured bacterium
Lineage: Bacteria
Description: partial 16S ribosomal RNA
Rfam family: Bacterial small subunit ribosomal RNA
Source: RNAcentral